This 72-nucleotide transfer RNA is filed under the name Sphaerulina populicola P02.02b. RNAcentral's name for it is "tRNA-Cys (GCA) (tRNA-Cys-GCA-1-1, tRNA-Cys-GCA-1-2)". It matches the Rfam family "tRNA". From Rfam's summary of the family: Transfer RNA (tRNA) molecules are approximately 80 nucleotides in length. Their secondary structure includes four short double-helical elements and three loops (D, anti-codon, and T loops). Lineage: Eukaryota; Fungi; Ascomycota; Dothideomycetes; Mycosphaerellales; Mycosphaerellaceae. The record is from RNAcentral.
GCAGCAAUGGUGUAGUGGUAGCACAUGAGAUUGCAAAUCUUAGGGUCCGCAGUUCGAACCUGCGUUGUUGCU